This 388-nucleotide ribosomal RNA is filed under the name uncultured bacterium. Its description in RNAcentral is "bacterial SSU rRNA". It matches the Rfam family "Bacterial small subunit ribosomal RNA", at positions 28 to 417 of the family's 1533-position model. The record is from RNAcentral.
GACGAACGCUGGCGGCGUGCUUAACACAUGCAAGUCGAGCGGUAAGGCCCUUUCGGGGGUACACGAGCGGCGAACGGGUGAGUAACACGUGGGUGACCUGCCCUCAGCUCUGGGAUAAGCCUGGGAAACCGGGUCUAAUACUGGAUAUGACUCCAUGACGCAUGUUGUGGGGUGGAAAGCCUUGUGCGGCUGAGGAUGGGCCCGCGGCCUAUCAGCUUGUUGGUGGGGUGANGGCCUACCAAGGCGACGACGGGUAGCCGGCCUGAGAGAGCGACCGGCCACACUGGGACUGAGACACGGCCCAGACUCCUACGGGAGGCAGCAGUGGGGAAUCUUGCGCAAUGGGCGAAAGCCUGACGCAGCGACGCCGCGUGAGGGAUGACGGCCU